This 699-nucleotide ribosomal RNA is filed under the name uncultured bacterium. Its description in RNAcentral is "bacterial SSU rRNA". It matches the Rfam family "Bacterial small subunit ribosomal RNA", at positions 8 to 714 of the family's 1533-position model. The record is from RNAcentral.
AGAGUUUGAUCCUGGCUCAGGACGAACGUUGGCGGUGCGCUUAAUGCAUGCAAGUCGAGGGAGAAGCAUUUGUUCCGUAAGGUUCAGAUGUGGAAACCGGCGAACGGGUGCGUAACACGUGAGAAACCUGCCCCCUUGACCGGGAUAGCCCGAGGAAACUCGGAUUAAUACCGGAUACUCUCUUUGGACCGCAUGGUCCGCUGAGGAAACAGUCCGCUGCUAGGGGAUGGUCUCGCGGCCUAUCAGGUAGUUGGUGAGGUAACGGCUCACCAAGCCUAAGACGGGUAGCUGGUCUGAGAGGACGAUCAGCCACACUGGAACUGAGACACGGUCCAGACUCCUACGGGAGGCAGCAGCAGGGAAUAUUGCACAAUGGGCGAAAGCCUGAUGCAGCGACACCGCGUGCGGGAUGACGGCCUUAGGGUUGUAAACCGCUUUCAGGAGGGAAGAAAAUGACGGUACCUCCAGAAGAAGCUCCGGCCAACUACGUGCCAGCAGCCGCGGUAAUACGUAGGGAGCAAACGUUGUCCGGAUUUAUUGGGCGUAAAGGGCUCGUAGGCGGUUCAACAAGUCGAUCGUGAAAGCCCGGGGCUCAACCCCGGGAGGCCGGUCGAAACUGUUGUGACUAGAGUUCGGUAGAGGUGAGUGGAAUUCUCGGUGUAGCGGUGGAAUGCGCAGAUAUCGAGAGGAACACCAUUA